GCUACAGCGAGAGGAUUUUCAAAGUUAAGAGGCAAAGUUUUGGACAGAAACAAGCUAUGGAAUAUAUAAUAAUAUAUAUUUCACAAAAGCUAUUCUUGUGGUUGCUGUUCAAGGCAAAAAGUACUUUGCACUGCAACUUCACAGUGCGACAGGUAGCCAUUGCUCGGAGGGUUCGACGAUCGUUGGGCGGGCCGGUUCUGGCGCGCUGAGCCCAUCGUCGAACUAUCAAACUAUCGGAAGGUCCAUCUUGAACUACGGCGGUGCAGUGUGGUCUCCCUCCCGCAAGCCAUCGCACUGGAAGAAGCUCCAGACUCGGCAGAGUCACCACCGACUGCCUGGCCAUGGCUAACGAGGACCACCUCCAUCGUGAGACCAAAAUCCUACCGGUGAAGCAACACAACGAACUACUCGCCCGGCGGUAGCUGCUAUGUUACCAGACACCCGCACACCCGUGCCAUCGGCUGUCAAAUGAACCAUAUCAACCGCGCUUAGUUCACCAUGACAUUCGUAAAUACCGUCAAGACAUCGACGAAGAGAUCCUCACCGACACGGUGUUCGCAGAACGAGCCUACCCAGACGGGCUACGUAGGCUCCACCGAACGGCGGUUGAAGUACCGGCUACAAAACGGUCAUCAUCCUUGGUGGCUACCCUACUCCGAGGUGGACAAAACCGAAAUCGAUCUUCCGCGGGACACUAGAUCCAAACUAUCGCAACUCCGCUGAAUGUUCAAUGACUAUCUGGCUCGUGUCGACAAUACUAUCGUCAACCUCUCCCCGAAAUGCGGACAGCGCCCUCACGACACGCAGCACAUCUUCAACUGCGCAGCGGCUUCCACAAAGACCUGUGGAAACGCCCGAAGGAGGUGGCUGCCUUCCUGGAACUAGAACUCGACUGAACAAUGCAAUUGCCUGACAACAACAACAACGUCAACAACAAUGUGAUAGGUGAAGUCUGUUCCUGCAUCAAUCCAUUAGAGCUUCAGCUUCAAAUAUUGGUUGAGCUUCUGUGAAAAAUGGAGUCACAAGCUGUAUGGACUCAAACCUUCGACCCUCCUUCACAGAGGUGGAUGAGUCAGUUGGAUGAUUGGAAGAUGUCACCUCCGUCUUAGGGAUGGUCAUCCACGACGUCAUCUAUGGGCACGACCCACGGCACAAAGACAACUAAGAUCUCUUCAGCAACCAGUCCUGAAUUCCAUAUUUUGUUCAUUCACAGAAGGGAUUCCAACCUCCAACCCUCUUUCUAUCCAUGGCACAUGAUUUCUAUGUCCUUGCCAAUGUACAGAAAUUCACCUUGGAGUCCAGCAAUUAGCCUUACCAAUUCAUUUAGAAUUUAUUCUGACAGUUUAUCACCCCACCCUGAGUGACUCAUAUUCUUUAUCAACAGAAACGC
Molecule: long non-coding RNA, 1390 nt
Organism: Syngnathoides biaculeatus (alligator pipefish)
Lineage: Eukaryota; Metazoa; Chordata; Actinopteri; Syngnathiformes; Syngnathidae
Exons: 3
Source: RefSeq, a predicted model, not a curated record